GUGGACCCACCUGAGACCAUACCGAACUCAGAAGUGAAACGCUGUAAUGCCGAUGGUAGUGUGGGGUUUCCCCAUGUGAGAGUAGGACACCGCCAGGU
Molecule: ribosomal RNA, 98 nt
Filed under: Haemophilus influenzae biotype aegyptius
Lineage: Bacteria; Pseudomonadati; Pseudomonadota; Gammaproteobacteria; Pasteurellales; Pasteurellaceae
Source: RNAcentral